UACGGGGGGAGCAAGCGUUGUUCGGAAUUACUGGGAGUAAAGGGCGUGUAGGCGGCCAUGUAAGUCGGGGGUGAAAUCCACUGGCUCAACCAGUGACGUGCCUUCGAACCUGCGUGGCUUGAGUAUGGCAGAGGGAAGCGGAAUUCCAGGUGUAGCGGUGAAAUGCGUAGAUAUCUGGAAGAACACCGGUGGCGUAGGCGGCUUCCUGGGCCAAUACUGACGCUGAUGCGCGAAAGCCAGGGGAGCAAACGGG
RNAcentral lists this ribosomal RNA (253 nucleotides) under uncultured bacterium. RNAcentral describes it as "partial 16S ribosomal RNA". It matches the Rfam family "Bacterial small subunit ribosomal RNA", at positions 524 to 776 of the family's 1533-position model. The record is from RNAcentral.